RNAcentral lists this long non-coding RNA (2385 nucleotides) under Gallus gallus (chicken). RNAcentral describes it as "lncRNA (ENSGALG00010015504.1)". The record is from RNAcentral. Lineage: Eukaryota; Metazoa; Chordata; Aves; Galliformes; Phasianidae.
CUCUCUGGAGAUCACUCGUCUUGGAGACCUUUUGGUGAGCCCAGGUUAUGGACAACAUCCAGGGGAAAGAAUAUGCUCUUUUAAAUAGAUUCUCCAGUUUGGAACUUCAAGUGAUCUAGAAAGUCAUUGAAAAGACUUUGUGCUGCGCCCCUCAGAAUGAGAUGUUUCCUCUUUUCAUAUCUGUAAUGAUUCAGACCUUCCCCUUUGAAGGCAUGUCCCACUGGCUCUGAUUUUCCUUCAGUAGACAUUAAGGGCAGGAUCCAAUUAAGGAAGCUAAAGGAGUGGAGAGCUUUUUUUGCCGGAGGAAACUGUCUUUGAUGAAGUUUGUAUGGACAGUGACUAAAGCUGCAUCUUGCUCCUGAAAUAAAGGUUGGAUCUUUAGUCUCUGUGAAUAAUCUGCAUGUGACUUUUUGAUCAGGAGUUAUUUUAAAAUUUGUGGAAACUCUUCAAGCUGUAGUGCAAAUGCAUAAUCCUCUAUGCUGAGACAACUGAAACUACAUAAAGCAAGUCAGGAUUCACUGCCCACGUGAUACAUCUGUCUGGACAAUAAUCCAAGGAUUGAGGAAAGCCAUUGAUGCUCACCACCACUGUGGAACAUCAUAGCAUCUGCAGACUAUAGCUGGUACUCAUCAGAAGGAAAAAAAGAAGGAAGGACACAAAUUGUCUAAUAAGUUUACUACUAUGUGCAGGAGAACCAGUGCAACACAAAAAAAAACAGGUAUUUAUAGACAUUGAUCAGAUCCCCCUCUGAGCCUUCUCAUAUCUAGGAUGUUCAGUUCUGGCGCUCUCAACCUCUCCUCACAGAAGAGCUACACCAGACCCUUCAUUUUACUUGCUCUUUGCUGGAGUCUCAGUACCUCCAGGCCUCCUGGGGAGCCCAGUGUUUAACAGAGAAGGAUGACCACUCAUGCUGCUGGCAACCCUUGGCCUAAUACAGCUAAGAAUGCCAUUAACUUUUUUUCUUUCAGCCAUGAAUAUUGUUAUGCAUAUAAACUAUUUUUGAAAGAGUCUUUUUGGAAAAUGUCUUCAUGCUUCAGGACACAGGUCAAACUCUUAACAAAUGAGACUUAUAAACUUUUCUCCUCUACCAGUUAUGCUAGAUGACUUUAUUUCUGGGUUUUUGCACUUUAUGCUUUUCUGAUGUGGUGCUUCCAGUCCGUUUGUCAUUAGAACACCGUUAACUAUUCUGAUGGCCACAGUACAUCUUUGUGAUGAAAGAAAUGUCUAUAGAGGUUUAUCUGAGUUUCUGAAUAUCUGACAAGACUAGGGAUCAAUAUGAAUUUGUUAUCUUACUAUGAAGACCUCAAAACUGUGUGAAUGGGAAAGCCAUAGUACGAUGACUGAAUGCCAUUUACAAUAUUCUAUUUUCUAGUCUUUUUCUCUGGACAGAAACAAAACAAAAUCAAACCUAAUCAAAACCUAACGUAGUGAACUAGAAGCAAUCACUUGUCCACUGCAUGCAGCACACUAGCUAAAGAAAGCAAAUCAUGAUCUCUAAAUUAGUGUUGACCUAUGCCAGUUGGUCUAGAGUACACAGUGAAAGGGCACAAACAAAUAGCAGAUGUGAUGUGGAAGCAGGAAAAUUGUUGCUGUAUGAGCUCCAGUGUGGCACCAUGUGGUCACGGGAAUGUUGCUUUUGAACCAUCAUCAUUCCUUUAGGGCUAACAUAUAGUGAACAAUUUUGAUAUGUCUUUCAGCCACAGUGUAUGCUAUAAGAAAUAAAAAUGAUAUGUGGGGAGCAGUGAACCCUCCACUGUCUAGUGACUGUAUUAUUUCAGCUGGAUGACUGAGGCUAACACUGGUUAAAGAGACAUAAGUGUUCUUUUCAUUUUUGUUUCUUCAUGAAGGAGAGGAAAGCUUUAUUCAUUAACUGAUUUAGAGACUUGAGAUCAUGAAUGUCCAAAACCAAUCUCACCUAAUAAUGGCAUUGUCUUUUAGAAGAGAACUAUCCACAGAGCUUUCACGCAUGUUUAAAUGCAGACAGUGUGUAUGACAGUAACAUAUCUUGAGUAGCUCUUCCAAAUUCCAAUUCAGUGUGCAAGACAGUAUCUGUUGCCUCCUAGGAGGGCCUGUGUCUUCACACAAGUUUAAGGGCAUUUGGAAGGCGCUCAGAUAAUGCGAUGAUACUUAAAUAGAUAGACAUAGUGUAUUUCAGCCAGUAAAUGACAGUAGAGAUUUAAGUAUUCAGAAUGUAAUUAUCAGAGCUGGAAUUUGGCCAGGACAUUAACUGAGUUAAUGCUCUUAUUUUACUGAAGUACAGUGAGAUUUCUGAUUAUCUGAAGAGGCUUAUAUCUCUUAUGACAAAUGUCAUGUGUGGUAUUGCUGUACAGAGUUGUUUACAUGCAGGGCAACAUUUGUAUUGAUACUUCCUUGAAACCCAUGUGC